UACGUAGGGUGCAAGCGUUAAUCGGAAUUACUGGGCGUAAAGCGUGCGCAGGCGGUUGUGCAAGACAGGUGUGAAAUCCCCGGGCUUAACCUGGGAACUGCACUUGUGACUGCACAGCUGGAGUACGGUAGAGGGGGAUGGAAUUCCGCGUGUAGCAGUGAAAUGCGUAGAUAUGCGGAGGAACACCGAUGGCGAAGGCAGCCUCCUGGGCCAGCACUGACGCUCAUGCACGAAAGCGUGGGGAGCAAACAGG
RNAcentral lists this ribosomal RNA (253 nucleotides) under uncultured bacterium. RNAcentral describes it as "partial 16S ribosomal RNA". It matches the Rfam family "Bacterial small subunit ribosomal RNA", at positions 524 to 776 of the family's 1533-position model. The record is from RNAcentral.